RNAcentral lists this non-coding RNA (120 nucleotides) under Curtobacterium flaccumfaciens. Its description in RNAcentral is "Glycine sequence". It matches the Rfam family "Glycine riboswitch aptamer". Rfam says of the family: This family represents the bacterial glycine riboswitch. Glycine riboswitches usually consist of two metabolite-binding aptamers domains with similar structures in tandem. Lineage: Bacteria; Bacillati; Actinomycetota; Actinomycetes; Micrococcales; Microbacteriaceae. RNAcentral also lists the same sequence under 1 other name. The record is from RNAcentral.
UCAUCCGUCGCGGGAGACGCCGUGCAGUACCUCUGGGUACAUCGUGCCCUCGGGCGCGCGCACGGCACCGAAGGAGCAAUCCCCCCGUCAAUCUCUCAGGUCCCACACCGCAGCGGACAG